RNAcentral lists this long non-coding RNA (314 nucleotides) under Dromaius novaehollandiae (emu). RNAcentral's name for it is "lncRNA (ENSDNVG00000006992.1)". Lineage: Eukaryota; Metazoa; Chordata; Aves; Casuariiformes; Dromaiidae. The record is from RNAcentral.
AGAACAUAAAAGUCAUACAAACAAAGCAGUAGUUUUCUCUGUCUUCUACCCUUGCUUAAAAGGAAACAGAAAUGUUUAGUGGAAUAACUGGGUCCUAAUAUUUUAUAGGAUUCACCCUCACCCUCGCCAUCUGGCAGCCAGCAGAGUGGAGCGGAUUUUUAUUCACCAGGAGGCAGCCUUCUUCAGGAGGCAGCCAAUCUGGUGGACAGAGUGGAUGUGAUUGUUCCGGGGGGAGCUCUGGUGGAUCACCUACCUUAGCCAGAAGUGAUUCCUCUGCAAAUGGUUCAUCAUCUUCUGGAGGCAGCCAGUACAAU